This 414-nucleotide unclassified non-coding RNA is filed under the name Hevea brasiliensis (rubber tree). The record is from RNAcentral. Lineage: Eukaryota; Viridiplantae; Streptophyta; Magnoliopsida; Malpighiales; Euphorbiaceae.
UGCAGCUCUCUUUACCACCUGUGACGUUACACUUACAAGUCAAUGCAAACUUGGUUUAUCUGGCAAUAAAGAUGAAUAUAAACUCCAUAUUCUAUAAAUAAGCAGUUGUUAUUAAUAAAAGAAAAGGACACCAACACAAAGCCAAACAUUUACAUGAACUUCAAUUUAAGUAGAUGUCAGAUAUAUUCAAAACAUAAAUUCAUUAUUCUUUCCUACACUUUCUCGCAACCAAACAGCAUUAGAAAAACAAUCAAACAAAUAUAUAAGGAAACUGCGGAAUCAACCGAAAAAAAUAAAAAAUCCCAAACAAGCAGCAAAACUCCAAUUUGAAUUGACAUUAAAAAAAAUGAGGAUUAAAGGAUUCAAAUCGUGAUACUAAAAUACCUGACCAGUACGCCCAAGAGUAAUAGUGAC